This 374-nucleotide ribosomal RNA is filed under the name Glomus sp. (unid). The record is from RNAcentral. Lineage: Eukaryota; Fungi; Glomeromycota; Glomeromycetes; Glomerales; Glomeraceae.
CAGUCGUACCGACGAGAAAUCAACCUUUCGAGUACGAACUUGUGGGCGUGCGUGAGUCUUUAACGGGCCUCGCUGUUUGCAAUGUUUGUCCUUUUGGGGUGUACUUUUUCGUAUGGUAGGCCAACGUCAGUUUCGAUCACCGUAAAAUGAUCGGAGGAAUGUAGCUUCGAUCUCGUAUUGAAGUGUUAUAGCUCUGGCAGAUGCGUGACCGAAACUGAGGAUUGCAACGAAUACCCUUCUGGGCUAUCCGUCUGGCCUCUGAAAGUUGCUUAGGUGUCCGAAAGCGUGCUUACGGCCAUUUAAGUUAACGGUCAAAAGGUUGAACGUGAUUACAUUCGUUAAGGACGUUGACGUAAUGGCUUUAAACGACCCGU